AGGCCUUAAGUUGCUUACCUGUUGUUACUUGGUGUCGUGAUCCCACAUUGAUUACUAAGGAGACAGGAAUCUAUGUUUGGUUGAUGAGAUGUUGCCGCUAGACCAAAGCGUGAUUAACAGUGUUGUUGGCCUCCUUCUUAUUGGGCUUGUGAUCACACUUGAGAGGAUCGUUCUAUGUCCCUGGCUGGAUUGGUCUAGCGGUCGUAUGACAGAC
Molecule: small nucleolar RNA, 214 nt
Organism: Impatiens glandulifera
Lineage: Eukaryota; Viridiplantae; Streptophyta; Magnoliopsida; Ericales; Balsaminaceae
Product: small nucleolar RNA U3
Exons: 1
Source: RefSeq, a predicted model, not a curated record